Molecule: ribosomal RNA, 468 nt
Filed under: uncultured bacterium
Lineage: Bacteria
Description: partial 16S ribosomal RNA
Rfam family: Bacterial small subunit ribosomal RNA
Source: RNAcentral
GACGAACGCUGGCGGCGUGCUUAACACAUGCAAGUCGAACGGAAAGGCCCUGCUUUUGUGGGGUGCUCGAGUGGCGAACGGGUGGGUAACACGUGAGUAACCUGCCCUUGACUUUGGGUUAACUUCAGGAAACUGGGGCUAAUACCGGCUAGGAGCUCCUGCUGCAUGGUGGGGGUUGGAAAGUUUGGGCGGUUGGGGAUGGACUCGAGGCUAAUCAGCUUGUUGGUGGGGUAGUGGCUUACCAAGGCUUUGACGGGUAGCCGGCCUGAGAGGGUGACCGGGCACAUGAGGACUGAGAUACGGCGCAGACGCCAACGGGAGGCAGCAGGGGGGAGUAUGGCGGAGUGGCGGGGAGCCUGAUGCAGCAGCGCCGCGUGCGGGAUGAUGGCCUUCGAGUGAUGAACGACUGUCUACUAUGACGAAGCGGUAGAGACGGUAAUUGAUAAGAAAGCAACGGCUAACUACGUG